Molecule: ribosomal RNA, 429 nt
Filed under: Chloroflexota bacterium
Lineage: Bacteria; Bacillati; Chloroflexota
Description: Chloroflexi bacterium partial 16S ribosomal RNA
Rfam family: Bacterial small subunit ribosomal RNA
Source: RNAcentral
UGGGGAAUAUUGCACAAUGGGCGCAAGCCUGAUGCAGCCAUGCCGCGUGUGUGAAGAAGGCCUUCGGGUUGUAAAGCACUUUCAGCGGGGAGGAAGGCGGUGAGGUUAAUAACCUCAUCGAUUGACGUUACCCGCAGAAGAAGCACCGGCUAACUCCGUGCCAGUAGCCGCGGUAAUACGGAGGGUGCAAGCGUUAAUCGGAAUUACUGGGCGUAAAGCGCACGCAGGCGGUCUGUCAAGUCGGAUGUGAAAUCCCCGGGCUCAACCUGGGAACUGCAUUCGAAACUGGCAGGCUAGAGUCUUGUAGAGGGGGGUAGAAUUCCAGGUGUAGCGGUGAAAUGCGUAGAGAUCUGGAGGAAUACCGGUGGCGAAGGCGGCCCCCUGGACAAAGACUGACGCUCAGGUGCGAAAGCGUGGGGAGCAAACAGG